UUGCUGUUCUGAACGGUGACUUUAUUAAACACAUUUGCAUAUGCUAAUAAUCUAUAUAUAAAACAAAAACAUGUCUGACUGUUGCGACUCUCUGUCAAGAGCAUUAUUAUUUUAGACACUAAAUCUGGGCCUUAUUGGCCGUCAGAUACACAACAAUCUCCAGCCAGAGGCACAGCGGUUUCUCUUCCACGUUUACAUCGACACAGUUUAUUCAAGAUGAAUUAGUGACGUACAGAAGAGCAGCUGAACGUGACGGUCAAUACAGAUCCCUUUGCAGCAGCUGCAGACUGUAAACAAUCACUCUAGUAGUUGCACAUCUACACAAACAAACAAGCAGCUCAUCACAUAUUAGUGGUUAACAUCCGUCAAGACAGACGACAAACAUUUGAAUGUAGUGGAUUAAAGAUUAAAAAACAUUAAAGACGUCACUUUGAAAUCAUACUGACCAUCUCUUUUCUGUUUUGGGUCGCUUCUGAACAUUUUAACAGUAGAUAUAUGCAGGUUUUGCAUGCAAACGACAUGAUCAGAAGGUUCCGGUUCACACAGAUGCAUAAAAAACACUGCGUCACAGGUCAGUAGUGAUGUCACUUUGUAAUGAAGCACAUGAUACACGUGCAUCAUGUCACUGUUUUUAACAGAAUCAUGUUUCUGUCAUAUAUAUUGAGACAGCAACAGCACAUUUUCAUGCUCUCAAUAAAGCAACUAAGAUUUGAAGUUUUUAGAUGAAAACCGUGGCGUAAAG
Molecule: long non-coding RNA, 742 nt
Filed under: Danio rerio (zebrafish)
Lineage: Eukaryota; Metazoa; Chordata; Actinopteri; Cypriniformes; Danionidae
Description: lncRNA si:dkey-181i3.8 (ENSDARG00000096569.2)
Source: RNAcentral